RNAcentral lists this ribosomal RNA (490 nucleotides) under uncultured bacterium. RNAcentral's name for it is "partial 16S ribosomal RNA". It matches the Rfam family "Bacterial small subunit ribosomal RNA", at positions 30 to 507 of the family's 1533-position model. The record is from RNAcentral.
AUUGAACGCUGGCGGCAUGCCUUACACAUGCAAGUCGAACGGCAGCAUGAUCUAGCUUGCUAGAUUGAUGGCGAGUGGCGAGCGGGUGAGUAAUACAUCGGAACGUGCCCUGUAGUGGGGGAUAACUAGUCGAAAGAUUAGCUAAUACCGCAUACGACCUGAGGGUGAAAGUGGGGGACCGCAAGGCCUCAUGCUAUAGGAGCGGCCGAUGUCUGAUUAGCUAGUUGGUGAGGUAAAGGCUCACCAAGGCGACGAUCAGUAGCUGGUCUGAGAGGACGAUCAGCCACACUGGGACUGAGACACGGCCCAGACUCCUACGGGAGGCAGCAGUGGGGAAUUUUGGACAAUGGGCGAAAGCCUGAUCCAGCAAUGCCGCGUGUGUGAAGAAGGCCUUCGGGUUGUAAAGCACUUUUGUCCGGAAAGAAAUGGCUCUGGUUAAUACCUGGGGUCGAUGACGGUACCGGAAGAAUAAGGACCGGCUAACUACGUG